This 342-nucleotide ribosomal RNA is filed under the name Pluralibacter gergoviae. RNAcentral describes it as "bacterial LSU rRNA". It matches the Rfam family "Bacterial large subunit ribosomal RNA", at positions 477 to 722 of the family's 2925-position model. Lineage: Bacteria; Pseudomonadati; Pseudomonadota; Gammaproteobacteria; Enterobacterales; Enterobacteriaceae. The record is from RNAcentral.
UGACUGACCGAUAGUGAACCAGUACCGUGAGGGAAAGGCGAAAAGAACCCCGGCGAGGGGAGUGAAAAAGAACCUGAAACCGUGUACGUACAAGCAGUGGGAGCCCCACCACUAAGCCAGUGGUGAGACCACGUCAGCAUCCUUUGCCGAGGAGCGGUUAACGGAGCGCAAGCGACGUUCAACCUCAAAAGAAGCAGAGGGGGCUUAGUGGUGGGGUGACUGCGUACCUUUUGUAUAAUGGGUCAGCGACUUAUAUUCUGUAGCAAGGUUAACCGCAUAGGGGAGCCGAAGGGAAACCGAGUCUUAACUGGGCGUUAAGUUGCAGGGUAUAGACCCGAAACC